This 367-nucleotide ribosomal RNA is filed under the name Aegla manni. RNAcentral describes it as "partial 12S ribosomal RNA". Lineage: Eukaryota; Metazoa; Arthropoda; Malacostraca; Decapoda; Aeglidae. The record is from RNAcentral.
UAUUAUAUUUAAUAUUAAACAUUACAUAUUUGAUUAUUAAUAGAUAUCUACUUUAAAUUCAAAGAAUUUGGCGGUAUUUUAGUCUAGUUAGAGGAACCUGUUUUAUAAUCGAUAAACCACGUAUAUCUUACUUAUUUUAAAUAAUUUGUAUACCGUCAUUAUUAGAUAACUUUCAAAAAAUUAGUUAUUAAAAUUAAUAAAAUUAAAUAUAUUAGAUCAAGGUGCAGUUAAUAAAUAAGAAAAAAUGGGUUACAAUAAAAUUUAUUUAAUAAACGAAUUAUAUAAAUGAAAAAAUAUAUGAAGGAGGAUUUAAUUGUAAUUUUUUUUAAAAUAAUAAUAUGAUAAUAGUUCUAAAAUAUGUACAUAU